UCUUAACAUAUUACCUAUGGAUCCUAGGUUUUACAUCACAAGAAUUAGAAUGUCUGCGCAUACACUAAUAGUACAAACGGGUAGAUAUGGUCAAAAUAGAAUCCCAAGGAGUGAAAGAUAUUGUUUAUGUUGUAAUACUAUGGAUUUAGAAGACGAAUAUCAUUUUGUUUUGAUAUGCCCAUGCUAUGUUGACAUAAGGAAAAAAAUAUGUGAAACGAUAUUAUUACAAAUGUCCACCAAUGUGUAAAUAUUGGACUGAAUUCUUCUAAAUAAAGUUAUACUCACUAAUCUAGCUAAAUAUCUGAAAGAAUCGAUUAAAAUCAGGAACAUUACUGUUAGUACUAACAACUGAAUUUUGAUAUUUUGUUACAAAUUUAUACUAAAAAUUCAAUUUGUGUAUUUAUAUUGUAGUGAUGAUGCACUAUGUACAAAUCCAAAACAAAAUUGUUCUGUUCUGUUCUUUACAAAGUUUUAUAUCUUAUGUUUUAACUAUUUUUAUUCUAUCAUUCUAGACAAUUUGGAUAAGUCUUAUAAUCUAAUGUCAAAAUGCAAUAGAUUUCACUUAUCAAAAUGGUUUUAAAACACAAAAUUUACUUAAAUACUAAGAUGACAUAUUCAAAGAGAAAAUUAAAAUGAGGUGUUAACAGACCAGCUUCAAAUUUGCAUUUGAUAUAGAUUUUAAUCAUAUCUUUUCCGAUCCUAAACCAUUUUAUUCUUAUUAUAACAUAUUAAAUUUGCUUCAAUUGUUUUCUUUCUAAAUGUUGUGUAGCUUGAUAAUCUACCCAGUGCCAGUUGUAUGUAUAUUUUAAGUUAUGUUUUCCAUGUUGUUGUCAGCAUUUAUAGAACAGUUGUUGUAUAAUUAGUUAGAAGAUGGAUAGACACGUGACUUCUACAGUCUACACAAGGGGUAAUGGGAUGUGAGAGAAAAAUGGCUUUUUACGUAGAUAUAUCUUAUUGAAUGAAUAAAAACAAAACAAUUGGGUGUCUUUCCGGUUUGUUAAUACAACAGAAAUUGAUAUAUUAACAACACAAAUUUACAUCAUUGUUUUACAGCAUGAUUAUAAUAAAUGCACAUACAAAAGAGUUUGCUCAUACCAACAUUUUCUCAGGCGUUUCCCUAUUAUAUCAUUUCAAUACUAUUUCUUUUUAAUAUCUUUUUGAUAAUGUUUUAUGGACUUUAUAUAUCUUAUUUUCAGAGGAAGGGCUAAACAUAGUAUGGGAUGGUUGAUUGCAGAAGACAAUAUUAAGCAAGAGUCCAGCCUUUUAUAUUUUGGCGAACAUAAAUCAAUCCGUUGAUUGGAUGUGGCAAGAGUUUUCCAUAUUUCCAAGUUAGGAGAUGCUAAAUGGGUUCUGUUUGAAAAGAUCCAGCAUUUUUGAAAAGCAAUUAACAGAUGCGAAACAAUGUGUCUCUGUGAAAAGGGCAGGCUAAAGGUUUCAACAGCACCGGCCGAAAAAGUGGAUUUAUUAUUUCAGGAUUGAACAAGGGCAGGGCAAUAUGUAUUUAUACAUGUGUAUCGUUGUCAGACUAUAUGGAUAGUCGGGCCUCGGUGACAAAAAUGAUGAAACAACAUUGUGUUUUUUCAGUGUCUUAACAUUCAGAAGAUUCAUUUUAUUUUAAAAUGACUUUUUACAAUAUUUUUUUUUACAAAACUUCCAUGGUAAAGUUUAGCAUUGGUAAGAUAUUUACUUGAAGGAUUGAUUUUCAGAACAGAAAUGCAAAUACAAUGUAUAUAAAUAAUAAUUAUUUGUAUAAAAUGUAUUACAAUUUUGAAUUAUAAUAUAAAUUUAGAUAGAUUCAUACAACUUUAUUCUUGGUAGAGCUAACUUGUAAGAAUAUUUAAUGGAAUCUGACUUAAAGUAAAAAAAAUAUUUAUCAUUAGUGGGUGGGGUAAUGUUUUAUACCAGUCUAAAUGAUGAUGUAUAGAUUAUGCAGUGUUGCGACUUUUUGAAUGUAAUCAACAUUGCUUGAAGUGUUUUGGAUUAAAUAAAGCAUGUUUGUGUA
This is a long non-coding RNA of Ruditapes philippinarum (Manila clam), 2002 nucleotides long. RefSeq lists it as uncharacterized. The record is from RefSeq and is a predicted model, not a curated record. Lineage: Eukaryota; Metazoa; Mollusca; Bivalvia; Venerida; Veneridae. The transcript is spliced from 2 exons.